This 208-nucleotide ribosomal RNA is filed under the name uncultured Pseudomonadota bacterium. RNAcentral describes it as "uncultured proteobacterium partial 16S ribosomal RNA". It matches the Rfam family "Bacterial small subunit ribosomal RNA", at positions 568 to 775 of the family's 1533-position model. Lineage: Bacteria; Pseudomonadati; Pseudomonadota. The record is from RNAcentral.
CGCGCAGGCGGCUUGGUAAGUCAGAUGUGAAAUCCCUGGGCUUAACCCAGGAAGUGCAUUUGAUACUGCCUCGCUAGAGUACGGGAGAGGAAAGUGGAAUUCCUGGUGUAGAGGUGAAAUUCGUAGAUAUCAGGAGGAACACCGGUGGCGAAGGCGACUUUCUGGCCCGAUACUGACGCUCAGGCGCGAAAGCGUGGGGAGCAAACAG